This 676-nucleotide long non-coding RNA is filed under the name Mustela putorius furo (domestic ferret). Its description in RNAcentral is "lncRNA (ENSMPUG00000031900.1)". The record is from RNAcentral. Lineage: Eukaryota; Metazoa; Chordata; Mammalia; Carnivora; Mustelidae.
AAUAUAUAAAUAAAAUCUUAAAAAAAAAAAAAAGAGAGAGAGAGAGAGAAAUGGAAACUAAAACUGCUCUAAAUGCCAGGUUUCUCCUGUCACUUUGGGAAAGACCAAAAACAUGGGGGUAGAGGGUCAUGCAGACCCAUACAGCCAUGAUGCCGGCAGUAAUGUGUUGAAAAUUACCUUGUACUCUGACCUGGCGAGUCUUCUAGGAAUGUAUCCAGCAGAUAGACCCACAGGUGUGUUGUAAUAGCAGCUGGCGACCAAAAGGCCCUCUAGGAUGGGAGUGGCCAAACCCAUGAUGGGCCGUCCACACAUCAGAGGACCAUGCAGCUGUGAAAUGCGUAAGGAGGUCAGCCAGCUCGUCCUCCAAAGACUGGUCUUCCAGAUCACAGCCUUCCGAGGGCCGCCAUCCCUGACGUGUGGCUGGACUCCAGAUAAGGCCUCAAAGCACUCAGUCCUAUCCCGGAGCGAGCCGGCCCUCCCAGGCGUGCAGGAGCACCGACGCCAGACUCUGCUGGGGUCUCUGGCAGACGCUGGAGGAAUUAGGAGCAGGUGGGGGCUGAAGCCAGGUAAGGUCCCCCCAGGUUAUGGAACCCAGUGGGGCCUUUUAAUUCUAGCCUUACGACUGCCAUGCAGGUGAGAGCGUCCUAGAGGAACUUGGGUGGAAGGCGAAGCCCCC